GACGAACGCUGGCGGCGUGCCUAAUACAUGCAAGUUGAGCGCUGAAGGUUGGUACUUGUACCAACUGGAUGAGCAGCGAACGGGUGAGUAACGCGUGGGGAAUCUGCCUUUGAGCGGGGGACAACAUUUGGAAACGAAUGCUAAUACCGCAUAAAAACUUUAAACACAAGUUUUAAGUUUGAAAGAUGCAAUUGCAUCACUCAAAGAUGAUCCCGCGUUGUAUUAGCUAGUUGGUGAGGUAAAGGCUCACCAAGGCGAUGAUACAUAGCCGACCUGAGAGGGUGAUCGGCCACAUUGGGACGGAGACACGGCCCAAACUCCUACGGGAGGCAGCAGUAGGGAAUCUUCGGCAAUGGACGAAAGUCUGACCGAGCAACGCCGCGUGAGUGAAGAAGGUUUUCGGAUCGUAAAACUCUGUUGGUAGAGAAGAACGUUGGUGAGAGUGGAAAGCUCAUCGAGUGACGGUAACUACCCAGAAAGGGACGGCUAACUACGUG
Molecule: ribosomal RNA, 497 nt
Filed under: uncultured bacterium
Lineage: Bacteria
Description: partial 16S ribosomal RNA
Rfam family: Bacterial small subunit ribosomal RNA
Source: RNAcentral